GGACAGGCUCCCCAGGGCAGUGGUCACGGCACUGAGCCUGCCAGAGUUCAAGAAGCACUUGGACAAGGCUAUCAGCCAUCUAGGGUUUGAUUUUUGCAUGGUCCUGUGUGGAGCCAAGAGUUGGACUCAGUGAUCCUUGCGGGUCCCUUCCAGGUCAGGAUAUUUGAUAAUUCUGUGAUUCAGGGCUGGGAUGUAGUGAGGCUUUUCCAGCCAGAUAGGCAACAGGCAGGCUGUGUGCAGGAGAGAGGGCAGGAGGAGAAACUAAGCCUAGAACAGGAGCUUAAGAAGGUUAAAAAUUGCCCAAACAGAUCCAUUUGUGUGUGAGGGCAUGAGGGACUGAGCCAGAAAGAAGGUGUGGACUGUCCUGAAGAGAAAAUAGACCUUGUUGGGAUGUCACAGCGCAUAGAGCAGUCAGCCAGCAAAGGCUGACAACUGUACCCCAUCUAACAUGCAAGACCCAGUGGGAUGCCAUUUCCUUUGCUAUGAAGCAUGCCCUUAACAGCAGACUAUGCCAGUAAAAGGCAAAAGGCACUGAAGCUCUUCUUUGAACAGGAAGAACGUCUGGCAUCUGUAUGGCUGUGCUGCACGGGAGAGUCUACGGUGAAAAUAUCUUGUCAGUGCUGGCUUCAUCCCAUUCUAAACCGAACACCUUCAGAAGGCAACCUCUCUCCCCUGAAACUCCUCCUCGACUUUGAAGGAGCUUAGAAACCUAGUGCUACCAAAUGUGCAGUGGGCUAUGAUUGUGAGCAAGUUGCUGUACAGUUUUCACAUUCCCUUGAGUCUUCUGUUGGCAUCAGCGAAACAGAAUCAGUGGAAGGUCCCCAGAUACAUUUUGCAAGCAGUCUGAGAUGGGAUUCAGCCUCAGGUUUGUCAGCAGGGAGGGCUGCUGUGCUCGAUCGCUCUGCCUGGGAACCUCCAACAGCCAGCAAAUAACCCUCAAAGUAACCCCCAGUGCCAGCUCUGGCAGUGUGGGAUCCUCAUGACUGCAACGUGAGGUUUCAGGUCACUUCUUAUUUACAUAUUGGGUUGUGGAUUUCUUUUAUUAUAUAUAUAUUUUUUUAACCAGGUUUCUUGGUACCUCCUGCUGGUUAAACAGAGAGGAUUGUUAUUGCCAUUGGGAGGGAAGGAAACCUGUCUGUUUGCACUGCUGGGUUAGAAAGACUUCUAAAAGCAGCUGCUGUCCAGUCAGCUGAAAUGACAAAGAAAAUCCCUAUGGCUACAAAAACUGGAGUCAUUAAUGCUGUGGAUUAUUUUUAAUAUAAAGCUCUAAUUAAGAAUUAUGUUGUCAGUUAAUCUCUAUUCAUUUCGUUAUUAUGUUUCUUUUUUUUUUUUUAUAAGGCAGUCCAUCUCCCAGCAGCUCCAGAGAAAGGGUAGGUCCAGGCUAUGCAAAAUGAAUUCCUCUGGGUUUCCUAGUUUGUUUACAAGAGUUUUUGUUCAUCCGAAGUAACGAAAAGCCAGCUAAGUCUCUUACUGUCCUAACUGUCUCAUACUGUCAUAAGUCUCUUAGUGUCAUAGCACUUAGCAAUCUGUGAGCUGGAAAUAAAAUAUUAGACCACGUAAACAAAACUUCUGCUUCCAGAGCAGCGUUGUUUUCAGAUCAGUAAUCCCACUUGUAUGUGUAUCCUCCCUCCUUUGCUGUUUUUCCUUAGCCCUUUAAGAAGGAUUUUUCCACUUUUUCUUCUAAGAAAAUUCAGUUUUAUUUAACAUUUUGUACUUGAAAGCCAGAAGAGUCCUCUUGGUUUUUGGCACCCCAAAAUAAAAAUCAGGCAUACUGCUUUCUGGCUCGGUAGGAACCUCUUCAAGGGGCAGUAAUGCUUUUCCUGAAGUGCCGAUGGUGCUUCACAGUUGGUACCUCCAGCUAACAUGGGAACUUGUAGUGUUGCCAGACAACUAUAGUCCUGGGGCUUGGGUCCUCUCUACAUCUGCUGUCAUCAUCAGUACCAGGAACUUGCACGCUAUCCAAAAGGAAACUUGAAAAGCACAAGACUCAGAGGUAAUAAUUUCCAAAUAAAGUUGACGAUGAGGGGAAUGUCACCUUUUAUGUGAGUGGAAGGUUUCAGGAAGGAAAUCCCAUUGACGGUGAGAGCUGAAAGCAAAUACUAUAAGUAGCUUACAAAAUCCUUCAAGAGAUACUACUAGGGAGGGAACCAGAAAUUACUAAAAUCAGUUUUGCCCUGUGUAGAUGGACGUGAAAUGGAGAAGGGUAAACACAGUGAUCAUUACUGGUUGAAAGAGAGUCUGGUCUGGCUUCAUCAAACACCUUGGUCAACUACAUGGUCUUCUCACUGCCAGCUGACUGGAGGAACGGUGUUUCCACGUACACCUUAUCUGGUUUCACUGGAGCAGAGUUGCUGAGCAACCAGUCAGACCAAGAGCAUGCACUAGAAUAAAUGCCACCUCUCUGCACAAGGCAUUGACCUUCAUCACAUCACGAUCAAGCAUGCUUCCUUCUACUGUAAACACCAGUUGACACUCGCCCGUCGGGGAACAAGACGGGGAAUUCCACCAGGAUGCCAGGGAAGAAAGAGCUGCAAGCACUGGUUGCCCAGAGGGACCGAGAAGUCUCCGUCCUUGGGCACGUGGACAACUUGGCACCAGGCUGAGCAGGGGGCUGGAGCGGGUGCUCUCCAGAGAUCCCUUUUUUCUACCAUCAGUAAGCAACCAUGUACCGGCUCAGUAAAGAGGUUGGGACAUUUCUAUGUGCUUUCAACUUCCCAAUAAUUUUGUCUCUGCUGCUGUAGCUAACAUGUAAAAAAAAUGAUAAUAACAUGGCGGUGAGGUGUGAAGAUGUGGAUGGCUUGCAUACACAUAAACACACAUGCACAGACGCACACAAGCAUUGGCGCUAGCUGCUCUGUGGGAAAGCAGUCCAGCAGCUAAAUGCGAGGAUGGAGGGAGGGGUGCUUGGGGUUGAAGAAACCCUUAGAAAAAGAACGACUUCUUCUUGGCAGAUUUUGCUUCCAAGGUGCUUGUAUUGAGGCCCUGUAGCAAACUGGGCAAGAGCUCUGAAUUGAUGGAAGGUAAUAUAACCACCAAGAGCUGGUUGCACAACUCAGUUACACUCUCACCCCUUUCUGUCUGCACCUCCUUUCCAAGAAGUGCCAGAGGGAAGAAAUAACUUCUCUCUCCUGAAUGGGGGAAACUCUAUAGUCUUUUACUCUGGUACUUUCAGAAGUCCAGUAAAAUAAAUCAUCUGACAUUUAUCCUGGACCUCAAAAAUGUUUAAAGUUUUACCUGUUUAGGAUAACUAUGCUAGAGGCAUGGUUUCCAUCCCAGGGGAAAGACGUGCAAACCUUGACCUCAGGUGUACUUGCUUCCAGCUAUGAGAAAAAUUCAGGUUCAUUGAAUAGUUCCAGGAAAGUAAUCCUUGAUAAUUCUCAGAAAUCGGUCUUUCAGAUAAAUAAAUAAAUAAAUAAAUAAAUAAAAAACUCUGUUCUCACAAAUUUUAUCAUGCUGGUCCCUAUUUUACACUGCUUUCUUGCCUGUAAGUGAAAUCACUGGGGCAUCAGGAGCUCCAUCUCAUGUGCUCUGGGUUUCAGACAGCAAGAAGAAACCACCCUUUCCCUCCACUCCUGUAGCAACAUCCUCCCUGACCUAAACCCAGGAGAACUAGGCCCAGUAUUUCCGCAUAACAGUAAGAUCAGUACCAAAUCCUGAAACACUGUAAAUGCUUUAGCCCAACUGUGCAUCUAAAGAUUUCAUUACCCUUUUUAUGUCUGCUUUGCAGCGGGAGUUUCUGCUCAGCUCUUGUGUCCCUCUUUUCUGAGUCCUUUCCAGAGCCCGUGCUUCGAAGUCCAGUUUCCCAUCUUAUUCCUGUGGCCUUCAUUCUCUAUUCCUAGAUUUAGAGCUUCAUGUUUACCUGUAAUAAAGUAUUACCUUACAUGCUUGCUUUCUGUUUACCAUCUGAUUACAUCAGUGACCUAUUUUCAUUUUAGUUCCUUUGGUCUUUGUGUCUGUGGCAAUAUUAUAAUUUUAUAUUUUCUUUGCUAUCACAGAUCAAAAUGGAUGAUGGCCAGGAAACAACUCCUGUGAAGCUCCCCUAGUUAACACCCCUCUGAACAAUGGUUCCUUGUUUAGCAUUGAGACUAAACAGUGGGUUAACCAGUUUCUGAACCAUCCAGUAUGUUAAUCUGCCACAACUUAUCGAUCAAAGAAUUGUGCAAAAUGAAAGCCUCAUGCUCUAUACUUGAUUAUUGCAUGAACAAGACUGCCUUUAUGAAUUAAGCUUUUACUCUUCUCCAAAAGACAACAGGUUAGCUCAGGAAAAUCUACUUUCUGAAAAUCCAUGUGAGUUGGCUUCUACUUCCUUUUAUUUUGGUAUUUAUUAACACAGACAUUUUGGCCAGCAUUUUUGUCAGGUUUUGGACAUCCAUUGGGCCAAUAGCCAGAAUAAUAACAAGCCUGAUGGAAGUGCAUAGCCUGAAACGGCCUGGGUUCUUCUGUAAAUGUUUUAAAAUAUUAUUCCACCAUAACCUUCUUGCUCAGCCUCUGGAGAUCCCCUGGACUUCCAGUUCUUCUAAAAGUGAGUUUUAGUGACUCAGAGUGAUCUUCUGUCAGCUCUUUGAAACUUUGGGGAUGCUAGUGCUAUACAUUUUCCAAUUUUAGGAUGCCUGAUAGCAGCAGCUGUUGUUUAGAGCCUUCUGAGGCACCUACUCUUUCAUCAGCAGUGGUGACACCACUUGCUUUUUUCCUCAAAUGCAGAACAGAGGUACUUAUUGAAAUUCCUAAAAUAAGUCCAUUGCCAGCCUUUGUCCAUCUUCAAGGUUUAUGCCAUGUUUAUAGAUGCAAAAAUCCCAUGCAAAAAUGAGAUCAUAACAAUCUCCUUGAAGUAUCUCCUACCUAAGAGUUAUAGUUGUGUUUGCAGAUUGAAGCUUCUCACCUGUCUGCAUCGCUGUUGAUGUUUCUACCAUUUCCAUAAAGCAACUAAUACAGUAUUAAAGUCACUUCUGUUCCAAUAGUUUUAGAACUGCACUCCUCUUAAACUGUUGUUUUCUGUACUUCUGCUGUUCUUUAUCUCUGCAGUGCCCUUCUGCUUCCUUCAGCAACUUUCUGUGGGUCUAAAGGUUAACCUUCUAGUCGCUGUCAUCCAGCCAACCCUUCUUCUAUACAUUAUAUGUAAUCCUCUAAUUUCCACAGAAUCUUUUAUUUAUUCUCCAAGGAGAGUUUGAUGUUUGAUCGAUACAUCCUUAGUGUUGGAGAUAUAUUAAAAUGCUCUUAAUUAUGUGGUAUCAGCCACAUUUUGUCAUGUAUAGUCUUGCAACUAAGUUUGAAGUUUUCUGCUAUGUAAAAUUAACCUUUAGAGAACGAAGUACAUGUGUGUGGGCAGGCUUGUCUGACAGCAGUUCUUCAUUUCUUCCUGAGGUUCCUGCGUCUGCUAAAGUAUUCUUUACUCAGAAACAACCCCUAUAUGUCAAAAUGUUAUUUUUAAUAGCCAUCACCAAAUGAGUUGCUGAGCUCAGGUGCCUUACAGUGGUUCUCAAAUAAACGGUGCUGCACAAAACCAAAGUUUUUAUGAGACUUUAUGGCUAAAAUGGUUUCUCUCAUUCUCCUUUAUUUCUCAGACCUGAGAUUCACCCAGAGGCAAACUUCCACAUUUUAGAUAUAAAAAAUGAACCUUUUGCGUUAAUGGCUAAAUACGGGGAGAGUGGUAGAAGGCGAUCAAUUAAUCUUGGUGGAUUAAGAGGCAUAUGGCACACUGCUAUUCCUCAGCCAGUACACAUGGGCAUAGAGUGAGACUUCAUGAGGCCCUGCUGCCUCCAUAGCUCUCCUGAGAGAGGUUCCAGUUGCAGAGAUCUGCAAAGCAAUGAAACCGGAGCUCUGAGCUUCCACCAAGCACAACUCCCUGGACUUGUCAUUGAGCACCAGCACUGCAUUUAGUACAGCAGGGCUGCUGUCCAUUUUUGCCCACCUCUCUUCACCCAUGACUCUCGGAGGGGGAUGCUGCCAGCCGAUCCCCGGCAGUGGGAAUGUGGAGAGGCCCUGGAAGGUGCCAGGAGGGUGGCUGACUGUUCUCAGCAGGCUCUCUCCGGGGACUCCCAGGAUGGGGGUGAUUGGAGGUUCAUGCUCAUAAGCAAGCAGUGCUCCCGCGAAAGCUUUCCAGUCCAUUUAAGUGAAUUAUUAAUAUUAUUAUUAUUUUUUAAAUAUAUAAUGGCAGUAGAGUAGAGUGGAGUAGAGUAGAACAGAACAGAACAGAAUAGAAUAGAAUAACUCAGUUGGAAGGGACCUUCAAAGAUCAUCGAGUCCAACUGCCUGACUUCUUCAGGGCUAUCCAAAAGUUAAGCGUAUUACUGAGGGCAUUAUUCAAAUACCUCUUGAACACUGACAGGCAUGGGGCAUCAGACACCUCUCUGGGAAGCCUGUUCCAGUGUUUGACCACCCUCACGGUAAAGAAAUGUUUCUUGAUGUCCAGUCUGAACCUCCUCUGGCAUAGCUUUAUGCCAUUCCCAUGUGUCCUGUCAUUGGUGACCAGGGAGCAGAGACCAGCACCUUCUUCUGCAUGUCCCCUCCUCAGGAAAUUGCAGAGAGCCACAAGGUCACCCCUCGGCCUCCUUUUCCGCAGACUUCACAACCCAAGUGUCCUCAGCCUCUCCUCACAGGACAUGCCUUCCAGCCCUUUUAGCAGCUUUGUUGCCCUCCUCUGGACCCUUCCAAGGACCUUAACAUCUUUUUUAUAUUGCGGAGCCCAGAACUGCACACAAUACUCAUGGUGAGGCCUCACCAAUGCUAAAUAUAGUGGGAAAAUUGCCUCUUUUGAGUGUUUAUAAUGCUCCCCAAGAUGCCAUUUGUUCUCCUGGCUGCCAGGGCACGCUGCUGGCUCAUGCUGAGCCGCUGCCACCAGCACCCCCAGGUGCUUUCUGCAGAGCCGCUCUCCAGCCGCUUGUCUCCCGCUCUGUGCCUGCGUCGGGCAUUACCCUGCCCCAGGUGCAGCGCCCGGCAUUUUCCUUUGUGAGCUUUAUUCCUGUUUAUCUCACAGCUGGACAGUUCCUCCAGAAGGAUGCUGAGAGGGAAAGUCCAGAAGGAUUACACCCUGCCUUCCCUUCACCCACCAAGCGGGUGAACGUAUGGAAGGACCCGUCCCCGUCCCGGUCCCU
This is a long non-coding RNA of Cygnus olor (mute swan), 7091 nucleotides long. RefSeq lists it as uncharacterized. The record is from RefSeq and is a predicted model, not a curated record. The transcript has 4 exons. NCBI's taxonomy places the organism in Eukaryota, Metazoa, Chordata, Aves, Anseriformes, Anatidae.